ACGAACGCUGGCGGCGUGCUUAACACAUGCAAGUCGAACGGAAAGGCCCUGCUUUUGUGGGGUGCUCGAGUGGCGAACGGGUGAGUAACACGUAAGUAACCUGCCCUUGACUUUGGGAUAACUUCAGGAAACUGGGGCUAAUACCGGAUAGGAGCUCCUGCUGCAUGGUGGGGGUUGGAAAGUUUCGGCGGUUGGGGAUGGACUCGCGGCUUAUCAGCUUGUUGGUGGGGUAGUGGCUUACCAAGGCUUUGACGGGUAGCCGGCCUGAGAGGGUGACCGGCCACAUUGGGACUGAGAUACGGCCCAGACUCCUACGGGAGGCAGCAGUGGGGAAUAUUGCACAAUGGGCGGAAGCCUGAUGCAGCAACGCCGCGUGCGGGAUGACGGCCUUCGGGUUGUAAACCGCUUUCGCCUGUGACGAAGCGUGAGUGACGGUAAUGGGUAAAGAAGCACCGGCUAACUACGUG
RNAcentral lists this ribosomal RNA (467 nucleotides) under uncultured bacterium. RNAcentral's name for it is "partial 16S ribosomal RNA". It matches the Rfam family "Bacterial small subunit ribosomal RNA", at positions 29 to 507 of the family's 1533-position model. The record is from RNAcentral.